GCCCAGCAGCCAGAUCCCCCUCCUCUCUUCAGUCUCUCAGACUGAAGAGAGAAGGCCAGAACUUAAGUCUGAAUUUGGACAGGCACAUGUGCAAAAUCCAUUCGUAAAUCCAAGAGUCCUGCUGGACUUCCACUGAAGUGCAAUCAAAGCGAUGUCAGAAUUGUGAAACAAUUAUACAAUAGAACAGAGGAAACCUAUUCAUCUCUCAUCUGAAAUAAAAGCAACGUGGCUCAAUCUUUCAUCCACAUAAGUGCCUCUCCCUGUUUUCAGAAAAAGUAGCAUAAAACCAGCAUUUUUUAAAAUCCGGAAAUACCUCGAGAUAAGGUAGAAUUUGCAGGACCAAGCCCGACUUCUGUGUGACAUGGGUCCAAGAAUCUCAGCUGGACAUCGGGGUCGUGUUAUGGUUGGUCAUGGUUCCAGCAUAACACAUCAAACCAGAACAGAAGAAAAACUCACUUAAAACCAGCAUUUUAAAAACCUGGAAACACAUCCGGACAAGCUAGAAUUUGGAAGACAAAGCCCAAUUUGUGUGUGUGGUGCUUCCAAAGAUCUUGAAUGGACUUCAAGUAAGGAGAUUGUAUGGCCAAUUUGAUCGCAAUGCAUUUCCUUUGGAAACCAAUGCAGGACAAAGCACCUCAGAAUAAACGAAUGCAGCACAGAGCAGGAAGUAGGUGUCAGAGCUGAGCCAUACGGAGGCCCUAAAUAGGAACCAAUAAAGACAAUAACUGCCCAGGCGGAACUCCAGCCUGAGCAAUCCCAGCCUGAACAUACCCCUCCCUACUGGGAAGAGCCAAAGGUGUAUCCAUCACUUAUCCCAUUCGUGGCAGCUCUCAUGAGAGUUUGCAAGCGAGCUGCUGGCAGGUGGGGAUGAAAGCGGUGUCAGCGGUGGACAGGCUGGC
Hemicordylus capensis (graceful crag lizard) is the source of this 899-nucleotide long non-coding RNA. RefSeq lists it as uncharacterized. NCBI's taxonomy places the organism in Eukaryota, Metazoa, Chordata, Lepidosauria, Squamata, Cordylidae. The transcript has 7 exons. The record is from RefSeq and is a predicted model, not a curated record.